This 465-nucleotide ribosomal RNA is filed under the name uncultured bacterium. RNAcentral's name for it is "partial 16S ribosomal RNA". It matches the Rfam family "Bacterial small subunit ribosomal RNA", at positions 28 to 507 of the family's 1533-position model. The record is from RNAcentral.
GACGAACGCUGGCGGCGUGCUUAACACAUGCAAGUCGAACGGAAAGGCACCAUUGGGGGUAAUCGAGUGGAGAACGGGUGAGAAACACGUGAGAAACCUGCCCUUGACUUCGGGAUAACUUCAGGUAACAGGGGCUAAUAACGGAUAGGAAUCCUUGCUGCAUGGUGGGGGAUGGAACGCUUCGGCGGUUUUGGGCUGACUAGCGGCUUAUGAGCUUGUCGGUGGGAUUGUGGCUUGCCAAGGCUUUGACGGGUAGCAGGCCAUUGAGGCCGAGCGGACACAUUAAGACUGAGGUGCGGCACAGGCACCGACGGUAGGCAGCAGUGGGGAAUAUUGCAGAAGGAGCGGAGGCCGGAUGCAGCAACGCCGCGUACGGGAUAACGGCCUUCGUGUUGUAGACCGCUGUCAGCAGUAACGAAUCUUGUGGUGACGGUACCUACAGAAGAAGCACCGGCUAACUACGUG